This 574-nucleotide ribosomal RNA is filed under the name uncultured Pseudomonas sp. Its description in RNAcentral is "bacterial SSU rRNA". It matches the Rfam family "Bacterial small subunit ribosomal RNA", at positions 146 to 714 of the family's 1533-position model. The record is from RNAcentral. Lineage: Bacteria; Pseudomonadati; Pseudomonadota; Gammaproteobacteria; Pseudomonadales; Pseudomonadaceae.
ACGUUUCGAAAGGAACGCUAAUACCGCAUACGUCCUACGGGAGAAAGCAGGGGACCUUCGGGGCUUGCGCUAUCAGAUGAGCCUAGGUCGGAUUAGCUAGUAGGUGAGUGUAAUGGCUCACCUAGGCGACGAUCCGUAACUGGUCUGAGAGGAUGAUCAGUCACACUGGAACUGAGACACGGUCCAGACUCCUACGGGAGGCAGCAGUGGGGAAUAUUGGACAAUGGGCGAAAGCCUGAUCCAGCCAUGCCGCGUGUGUGAAGAAGGUCUUCGGAUUGUAAAGCACUUUAAGUUGGGAGGAAGGGCAGUAAGUUAAUACCUUGCUGUUUUGACGUUACCAACAGAAUAAGCACCGGCUAACUUCGUGCCAGCAGCCGCGGUAAUACGAAGGGUGCAAGCGUUAAUCGGAAUUACUGGGCGUAAAGCGCGCGCAGGUGGUUCAGCAAGUUGGAGGUGAAAUCCCCGGGCUCAACCUGGGAACUGCCUCCAAAACUAUUGAGCUAGAGUACGGUAGAGGGUAGUGGAAUUUCCUGUGUAGCGGUGAAAUGCGUAGAUAUAGGAAGGAACACCAGUG